UACGAAGGGGGCUAGCGUUGUUCGGAAUCACUGGGCGUAAAGGGUGCGUAGGCGGUUCUUUAAGUCAGGGGUGAAAUCUUGGGGCUCAACUCCAGAACUGCCUUUGAUACUGAAGAUCUUGAGUUCGGGAGAGGUGAGUGGAACUGCGAGUGUAGAGGUGAAAUUCGUAGAUAUUCGCAAGAACACCAGUGGCGAAGGCGGCUCACUGGCCCGAUACUGACGCUGAGGCACGAAAGCGUGGGGAGCAAACAGG
RNAcentral lists this ribosomal RNA (253 nucleotides) under uncultured bacterium. RNAcentral describes it as "partial 16S ribosomal RNA". It matches the Rfam family "Bacterial small subunit ribosomal RNA", at positions 524 to 776 of the family's 1533-position model. The record is from RNAcentral.